Molecule: ribosomal RNA, 198 nt
Filed under: uncultured bacterium
Lineage: Bacteria
Description: partial 16S ribosomal RNA
Rfam family: Bacterial small subunit ribosomal RNA
Source: RNAcentral
ACGCUCGACACCUACGGGAGGCAGCAGUGAGGGAUAUUGGUCAAUGGGGGAAACCCUGAACCAGCAACGCCGCGUGAGGGAUGACGGUCUUCGGAUUGUAAACCUCUGUCCUCUGUGAAGAUAAUGACGGUAGCAGAGGAGGAAGCUCCGGCUAACUACGUGCCCGCAGCCGCGGUAAUCUGAGCGGGCUGGCAAGGC